UGGCUGACUGUACAAAGGUAUAAUCAUUUCUUGCAUUUACUCAAUGAUUUGUAGUCAUGUAUGUCAUUUUUCUAAUUUAUUUUUCGUAGUUGAUUUUGUGAAUUUGAAAUGUUUUGUUUAGGACGUAAGUUGUUACUGUCAUUGUUUUGAGUGGAAAGAUAGUGAAGUGUUGAUAGUUAGCAUUUCAUUUGUUAUAACUAAUUAGGUUACUGCUCUUGUUUAAUAGGUUGUAUUUAUAAAUGGAAGUAGCGGAAUGGUAUUGGAUUUGCAUCUACAGAGUUAAAGAUUCAAUCUCUCUUUCUAGUGUUUCUAAUAUCUCCCCUUAAGUUUUGUAUCCUUUCAUUAUUUUCUUCCUUUUUUCGGCAUCUCUCUCUCAAAUUUCCUGUCUUCUAAAAUUUCCUCAUUUCGUAAUCUGUCAAAUAUCCUAGUUAGCCUAAUUCUAAAGAUCUUAUAUCCUAACAUUUUGUUAUAUGUAUAUGGAAAUCCAAGAAUUGAGCUUACUCAUCAUAUGACGCAUAAGAAUGACUUAUGGAGAAUAAAAGAAUAAGCUAUUUAGUAAGACCCUCAAAGAGAUGCAAUAUUACAACGGAUAAUUAGCUGCAUAGGCUCUGCUAGUUUGGCCUUUGGGUACUGUCUCCAAGUAUCCUAAUUGGCCAAUCAGGUGCUUAUCUUGUUUUGGUCAAUGAUGGUGUAUUUUUGGACCUGCACCAUGUAACUGUAAAUAAAUCUUACUGAACAUAUUGAAAAGAUAACUAAAUAAAUCCUAGUGAAGCAAAUAACUAAGCAUUGACCAUUUGAAGUUAAGCAACUUGCCUAAUGAUAACUUUUGCUGGUGUUGGUGCAUUGCACAACAUGCUGAGCAAGGAAGUAAAUGAAUGUGCUGACUUAUUUGCUGCAUCUGAGAGUGAUGGAACCUGUUUUCUUUUUACUAAUUAUAUAGUAAUUUUUUUUCCCCUCAAUGCCCUACUCUUGUAAAGGGGGAAAUUUAUGGUAUACUUCAUGUGACGC
Molecule: unclassified non-coding RNA, 1008 nt
Filed under: Hevea brasiliensis (rubber tree)
Lineage: Eukaryota; Viridiplantae; Streptophyta; Magnoliopsida; Malpighiales; Euphorbiaceae
Source: RNAcentral